AUUUAUAUAGUUUAAAUAAAACAUUACAUUUUCACUGUAAAAACAAUAUUAACUUAUAUUUAUAAAUA
This 68-nucleotide transfer RNA is filed under the name Anapodisma miramae. RNAcentral's name for it is "tRNA-Glu". The record is from RNAcentral. Lineage: Eukaryota; Metazoa; Arthropoda; Insecta; Orthoptera; Acrididae.